This 492-nucleotide ribosomal RNA is filed under the name uncultured bacterium. RNAcentral's name for it is "partial 16S ribosomal RNA". It matches the Rfam family "Bacterial small subunit ribosomal RNA", at positions 29 to 507 of the family's 1533-position model. The record is from RNAcentral.
AGUGAACGCUGGCGGUAGGCCUAACACAUGCAAGUCGAACGGCAGCACAGUAAGAGCUUGCUCUUACGGGUGGCGAGUGGCGGACGAGUGAGGAAUACAUCGGAAUCUACUUUUUCGUGGGGGAUAACGUAGGGAAACUUACGCUAAUACCGCAUACGACCUACGGGUGAAAGCAGGGGAUCUUCGGACCUUGCGCGAUUGAAUGAGCCGAUGUCGGAUUAGCUAGUUGGCGGGGUAAAGGCCCACCAAGGCGACGAUCCGUAGCUGGUCUGAGAGGAUGAUCAGCCACACUGGAACUGAGACACGGUCCAGACUCCUACGGGAGGCAGCAGUCGGGAAUAUUGCACAAUGGGCGCAAGCCUGAUCCAGCCAUGCCGCAUGGGUGAAGAAGGCCUUCGGGUUGUAAAGCCCUUUUGUUGGGAAAGAAAAGCAGCAGGUUAAUACCCCGCUAUUCUGACGGUACCCAAAGAAUAAGCACCGGCUAACUUCGUG